GGAUCUGACAAGAGAUUGGGACUUAAGUUGUUUCACUGUGGUUUUCAAGUUCAACAAACCACAUAUUUUAUCACAUUACUUAUACGGACGCAAAUGGGUGUACUUUUGGGUAAUCGGAAGCAACCUAAUAUUGCGAUGCACGUGGACAUACAAGUUGUCUGCCCAUCUCCGACACAAUUACCUCACAGUAUUCACAAUAACUGCUCUUGAGAUGUUCCGUCGUUUCCAGUGGGUUUUCUUCCGUGUAGAAAAUGAGUGGAACAAGAUAAGCAACAACAAAUCAUCAAAUACUCAACUCUACUUGGGUGAUCAACAAGAUAAAGAAGAAGAAUUCCUCAUCAACUCCAAUGGUCACAAUGUAUAGCCAACCAUAUAUCCAUUCCAUAUUUGCAAACAAUAAUAUCUUACUUGUCAAUACUAUAUACAAGGGUACAUAGAGCUAACAUACUACACAAUUAGGUAGGAUAUGAUAUGAUACAUUGACAAGUUUUAUUUAAUGCGUGCUUAAGUUUUUCUUUGUCUUGUAGGGCUUUCUAUUCUAUGCUUCUUUUUGGAAGCUAUUUCAUUUAUUUUCAUAAAUA
This 581-nucleotide unclassified non-coding RNA is filed under the name Hevea brasiliensis (rubber tree). Lineage: Eukaryota; Viridiplantae; Streptophyta; Magnoliopsida; Malpighiales; Euphorbiaceae. The record is from RNAcentral.